UUUUAAUCUCAGGGCGGGGUGAAACUCCCCACCGGCGGUAACUUAAUAUUAAGUCAGUCCCGAUUUAUUUUAAGGUAGCCCGCGAGCGCUCUUAUUGUUAUUUAUUGCAAAAAGAGGUCAGCAGAUCUGGUGUAACUCCAGAGCCGACGGUUAUAGUCCGGAUGAGAGAGCUUAAAA
Colwellia sp. Phe_37 is the source of this 177-nucleotide non-coding RNA. The record is from Rfam. Lineage: Bacteria; Pseudomonadati; Pseudomonadota; Gammaproteobacteria; Alteromonadales; Colwelliaceae.